RNAcentral lists this non-coding RNA (766 nucleotides) under Drosophila willistoni. RNAcentral's name for it is "Eukaryotic large subunit ribosomal RNA". It matches the Rfam family "Eukaryotic large subunit ribosomal RNA", at positions 1 to 631 of the family's 3401-position model. Lineage: Eukaryota; Metazoa; Arthropoda; Insecta; Diptera; Drosophilidae. The record is from Rfam by way of RNAcentral.
CAACCUCAACUCAUAUGGGACUACCCCUGAAUUUAAGCAUAUUAAUUAGGGGAGAGAAAAAGAAACUAACAAGGAUUUUCUUAGUAGCGGCGAGCGAAAAGAAAAUAGUUCAGCACUAAGUCACUUUGUCUCAAUUUGUCUUAGAAAAUGGAGACGGUGUGUGGACCCACAUUUUUUGUUGGAAAAAUUAAUGAUUUAAGUCCUUCUUAAAUGAGGCCAUUUACCCAUAGAGGGUGCCAGGCCCGUAUAACGUUAAUGAUUACUAUUAGAUGUGUCUCCAAAGAGUCGUGUUGCUUGAUAGUGCAGCACUAAGUGGGUGGUAAACUCCAUCUAAAACUAAAUAUAACCAUGAGACCGAUAGUAAACAAGUACCGUGAGGGAAAGUUGAAAAGAACUCUGAAUAGAGAGUUAAAUAGUACGUGAAACUGCUUAGAGGUUAAGCCCGAUGAACCUGAAUAUCCAUUAUGGAAAAUUCAUCAUUAGAGUUUUAAUAUUUUAAUAAUAUUAUAAUAAUAGUGUGCAUUUUUUCCAUAUAAGGACAUUGUAAUCUAUUAACAUAAACCAAAUUUAUCAUAAAAUAUGACUUAUAGUUUAUUUAAAUUAUUUUGCUUGCAUUUUAACAUAGAAUAAAUGUCAUUAAUUUGAUAAAGUGUUGAUAGAUUUAUAUGAAUACAGUGCGUUAAUUUUUCGGAAUUAUAUAAUAGCAUGAUUAUCAUUGAUUUUCUGUGUUUAUUAUAUGCACUUGUAUGAUUAACAAUGCGAAAGA